ACAUUACACAAAUAUGAAGGCGGGCUGGAACCUCUCGGGGUUACAGCCUUGCUGAAUUAUUCACCCUUGUCUUUUGCGUACUUCUUGUUUCCUUGGUGGGUUCGCCCACCACUAGGACAAACAUAAACCUUUUGUAAUUGCAAUCAGCGUCAGUAACAAAUUAAUAAUUACAACUUUCAACAACGGAUCUCUUGGUUCUGGCAUCGAUGAAGAACGCAGCGAAAUGCGAUAAGUAGUGUGAAUUGCAGAAUUCAGUGAAUCAUCGAAUCUUUGAACGCACAUUGCGCCCUUUGGUAUUCCAAAGGGCAUGCCUGUUCGAGCGUCAUUUGUACCCUCAAGCUUUGCUUGGUGUUGGGCGUCUUGUCUCUAGCUUUGCUGGAGACUCGCCUUAAAGUAAUUGGCAGCCGGCCUACUGGUUUCGGAGCGCAGCACAAGUCGCACUCUCUAUCAGCAAAGGUCUAGCAUCCAUUAAGCCUUUUUUUCAACUUUUGACCUCGGAUCAGGUAGGGAUACCCGCUGAACUUAAGCAUAUCAAUAAGCGGAGGAAAAAAAA
RNAcentral lists this small RNA (553 nucleotides) under Alternaria compacta. Its description in RNAcentral is "eukaryotic LSU rRNA". The stretch from base 172 to 325 matches the Rfam family "5.8S ribosomal RNA". Lineage: Eukaryota; Fungi; Ascomycota; Dothideomycetes; Pleosporales; Pleosporaceae. The record is from RNAcentral.